ACGAACGCUGGCGGCGUGCCUAAUACAUGCAAGUCGAACGGCGUUUUCUAUGGAAGCUUGCUUCCACUGAAAAGAGUAGUGGCGAACGGGUGAGUAACACGUGGGUAACCUGCCCAUAAGAGGGGGAUUAACAUCCGGAAACGGGUGCUAAUACCGCAUAGUUUUCUUGAUUGCAGUGAUUGAGAAGGAAAGACGGCCUUUGUGCUGUCGCUUAUGGAUGGACCCGCGGCGUAUUAGUUAGUUGGUGAGGUAACGGCUCACCAAGACGAUGAUACGUAGCCGACCUGAGAGGUGAUCGGCCACAUUGGGACUGAGACACGGCCCAAACUCCUACGGGAGGCAGCAGUAGGGAAUCUUCCGCAAUGGACGAAAGUCUGACGGAGCAACGCCGCGUGAGUGGAAAACGAAGGUUUUUCGGAUCGUAAAACUCUGUUGUCAGAGAAGAACAAGUUGGAGAGUAACUGCUCCAGCCUUGACGGUAUCUGACCAGAAAGCCACGGCUAACUACGUGCCAGCCGCCGC
This 522-nucleotide ribosomal RNA is filed under the name uncultured bacterium. RNAcentral's name for it is "bacterial SSU rRNA". It matches the Rfam family "Bacterial small subunit ribosomal RNA", at positions 29 to 518 of the family's 1533-position model. The record is from RNAcentral.